This 784-nucleotide long non-coding RNA is filed under the name Homo sapiens (human). RNAcentral's name for it is "HSALNT0076775". The record is from RNAcentral. Lineage: Eukaryota; Metazoa; Chordata; Mammalia; Primates; Hominidae.
GCAAUUCUCCUGCCUCAGCCUCCCGAGUAGCUGGGAUUACAGGUAAGUGCCACCACACCCAGCUGAUUUUUGUGUUUUUUGUAGAGACGAGGUUUCACCAUGUUUCCCAGACUGUUCUCAAACUCCUGAGCUCAAAGCAGUCCACCCACCUUGGCCUCCCAAAGUGCUGGGAUUACAGGUGUGAGCCAUCUUGCUCAUUCUAGUUUAAACUUUUGAGUGGUUUGUGUCUCCUGAUUGGACUCCUACAAAUACAGAAUUGAUGCUAGGAAGGGUACCAGGAGAUAGAUGCACACAGAUGGGAUUUGGGAAUAGGUUUGGUUAUCCAAGGAGCAGUGCUGAGCUCCUUGCUAAUGGGAUAUGGGAUGCUGGUGAUUUCCAGGAAGUGACCUCACAAUGACUCAAGCUACCACAUACUGUUGAUUGUGAAAUGCCAGUUGAAGCAUAUGUCCUGCGAGCUUAGGGGUGCUACAAGUUGACCACUGCAGCAGUAAAGAUGACUCUGAAGAAUGGCAUGGGAUGGAUCCUUUCGAAUGCACUUGAGCAGCAGUCUCCAACCACAGGGCCACAGAGCUGGAGCUGGAUCUACCAUGAAAGACUUCUGAAUCCAGGAAGAGAGACUGACUGGGCAACAUGUUAUUCAGGUACAAAAAGAUUUGGACUGUAACUUAAAAAUGAUCAAAUAAUAGUGCAUGCAUCUAGUGCAUGCAUCAAGUGCAAUGGGAAGCUCUUCUGGAGAGUGAGAGAAGCUUCCAGUUAAGGUGACAUUGAAGCCAAGUCCUGAAAG